This 406-nucleotide ribosomal RNA is filed under the name uncultured bacterium. RNAcentral describes it as "partial 16S ribosomal RNA". It matches the Rfam family "Bacterial small subunit ribosomal RNA", at positions 30 to 526 of the family's 1533-position model. The record is from RNAcentral.
AUUGAACGCUGGCGGCAGGCUUAACACAUGCAAGUCGAGCGAGCGGCGGACGGGUGAGUAAUGUAUGGGAAACUGCCUGAUGGAGGGGGAUAACUACUGGAAACGGUAGCUAAUACCGCAUACUAUCAGAUGUGCCCAGAUGGGAUUAGCUAGUAGGUGGGGUAAUGGCUCACCUAGGCGACGAUCUCUAGCUGGUCUGAGAGGAUGACCAUCCACACUGGAACUGAGACACGGUCCAGACUCCUACGGGAGGCAGCAGUGGGGAAUAUUGCACAAUGGGCGCAAGCCUGAUGCAGCCAUGCCGCGUGUAUGAAGAAGGCCUUCGGGUUGUAAAGUACUUUCAGCGGGGAGGCGUUACCCGCAGAAGAAGCACCGGCUAACUCCGUGCCAGCAGCCGCGGUAAUUC